This 403-nucleotide ribosomal RNA is filed under the name uncultured bacterium. RNAcentral's name for it is "partial 16S ribosomal RNA". It matches the Rfam family "Bacterial small subunit ribosomal RNA", at positions 28 to 526 of the family's 1533-position model. The record is from RNAcentral.
GACGAACGCUGGCGGCGUGCCUAAUACAUGCAAGUCGAACGCAGUGGGGACGGGUGAGUAACACGUUGGUAACCUCCCAUCAGAGGGGAUAACACUUGGAAACAGGUGCUAAACCGAUACUGAUGGAUGGACCCGCGGUUCAUUAGCUAGUUGGUGAGGUAACGGCUCACCAAGGCCACGAUGCAUAGGCGACAUGAGAGGGUGAUCGCCCAACAUUGGACCGAGACACAGACCAGACUCCUACGGGAGGCAGCAGUAGGGAAUCUUCGGCAAUGGACGAAAGUCUGACCGAGCAACGCCGCGUGAGUGAAGAAGGUUUGCGGAGCGUAAAACUCUGUUGUUAGAGAAGCGGUAUCUAACCAGAAGGCCACGGCUAACUACGUGCCAGCAGCCGCGGUAAUUC